This 500-nucleotide ribosomal RNA is filed under the name uncultured bacterium. RNAcentral's name for it is "partial 16S ribosomal RNA". It matches the Rfam family "Bacterial small subunit ribosomal RNA", at positions 28 to 523 of the family's 1533-position model. The record is from RNAcentral.
GAUUAACGCUAGCGGCAGGCCUAAUACAUGCAAGUCGAACGGUAACAGGUGUAGCAAUACAUGCUGACGAGUGGCGCACGGGUGCGUAACACGUAUGCAACCUACCUAUAACUGGGGAAUAGCCUUCCGAAAGGAAGAUUAACACCGCAUAACAUCACGAAACGGCAUCGUUUUGUGAUCAAACCUCCGGGGGUUAUAGAUGGGCAUGCGUAACAUUAGCUAGUUGGUGAGGUAAUGGCUCACCAAGGCUACGAUGUUUAGGGGGUCUGAGAGGAUGAUCCCCCACACUGGUACUGGGACACGGACCAGACUCUGACGGGAGGCAGCAGUAAGGAAUAUUGGACGAUGGGGGCAACCCUGAUACAGCCAUGCCGCGUGAAGGAUGAAGGCCCUCUGGGUUGUAAACUUCUUUUGUACGGGAAUAAACCCCUUUACGUGUAGAGGGUUGAAUGUACCGUAAGAAUAAGGAUCGGCUAACUUCGUGCCAGCAGCCGCGGUAA